Molecule: non-coding RNA, 1451 nt
Organism: Paramuricea clavata
Lineage: Eukaryota; Metazoa; Cnidaria; Anthozoa; Malacalcyonacea; Plexauridae
Source: the annotation of a GenBank genome assembly
GAACGAUCCUUACUCGCACUCAACGAAUCAGCCAAACAACCCAAACGACUAGAAAACACAUCCGCAAAAAAACUACAGACAUUAAACAAUAGGUCACAGGACAAAGAAACUAAAACCAAAAACAAGCACAUUGAAAAACAAUUGAAAGAACUAACACCUUCAAACAGACCACAAAUGAACAUUACAAGACAACCACAGAAAACAAAACAUAUACAACAUCCAACAAAUACACCAAAAACACAACGAGUAGCACACACAACACAUGUAAACACAACAAAUACACCACAAACUACCUUCCACAGCCACAUACAAACCCAUAUGCUUACACAGGCACAUAACACCACAUACAGCCCUAUACAAAUGAACACUACAACAACACCAAAAACACUCCAGAAACAACACACGUCAACACCACAACGCCAUCAUAACAACAAUACACACAGUAAUAACAGAACUCAGACAAUUACUCCGAAUCAAAUACCACAUACCCCUACAACUCCUCUCAUGCAAGUUCGAACCUCCAUGCAACAUACUACUCUGACACAUCCUCAAACACCAAAACUACGAAUACCACCACGCUCUCAGCAAACCUACAAUACACAACAACCCAAGACCAACAAUUUGCAACAACAGAACAGAACACCACCACCUACUAACACUCACCACUGGCAACACAUCCCACAAAACAGAUGGCACCCACAACACACAAACAAGCAAUAUUCCACACAACAUAACCUGAAACGUACAAUCCCAAAUACAUUAUUUUCUUCUAAACCAAACGCACAAACUACAGAAAUAAUGCAAAACAUAACCACAACAUACACGCCAAGCACAAACAUGAAUACUAAUAAAUACAACAAAAACACUAUACUUAAGUUCAUGAAAAUACCACGUAACACCAAAAAUAACAGAUACCUUAGUAAAAACAAAUUACACAAAAAAAUGCACAACAACCUACAACACAAAGCAGUUAUUAACCUAUCAGAUAAAAACAUUUCUAAUUCCACACUAAUAGCACUAUCUAAAGGCUUGUCUUAUAUCCCUUCCCCCAAACCGACACCUUACAAGCAAAUUUAUAACUCAUUCCUAAAAUACAGAAAACACAUGUACAACAGAUAUUUCUUCAGGCACAACACAAAUAACAAGAGACACCCAUUUAAACUACCAACAAAUUUCACAGCCCCGAUUCCAGAUAACAGCAACCUUCAAGAAUACAUUUCAAACAUUUACCAAGACCUGAAAACAGAAUAUGAGGAACAAAAAGAACGUGCAAAACAAAUAUAUCUAAAGAUGAACUACAAGCUAUCCAUAAUCUUAAAACUGAUAAUGAUUUGAUUGUUAAACCAGCAGAUAAGGGAGGAGCCAUUGUUAUCUGGCCCAAAGAUGCCUAUCUAGUUGAGGCAUAUAGACAAUUAAAUGAUUCAAAUCAUUAUCGAAAACUUACACACGAC